Molecule: ribosomal RNA, 95 nt
Filed under: uncultured bacterium
Lineage: Bacteria
Description: partial 16S ribosomal RNA
Rfam family: Bacterial small subunit ribosomal RNA
Source: RNAcentral
CACCGCCCGUCACAUCAUGAAAGCCGGUUGUACCCGAAGUCAUCGCGUUAACCGCAAGGGAACAGAUGCCGAAGGUAUGGCUGGUGAUUGGGAUG